GCUGGGUGUGGUAGUGCACGCCUGUAAUCCCAGAGGCUGGGGAAGCUGAGACAGGAGGAUGGAGAGUUCAAAGCCAGCCUCAGCAAUGGCAAGGCGCUAAGCAACGCAGUGAGACCCUGUCUCUA
Molecule: small RNA, 125 nt
Filed under: Marmota monax (woodchuck)
Lineage: Eukaryota; Metazoa; Chordata; Mammalia; Rodentia; Sciuridae
Source: RNAcentral